RNAcentral lists this transfer RNA (60 nucleotides) under Heterocephalus glaber (naked mole-rat). It matches the Rfam family "tRNA", at positions 6 to 65 of the family's 71-position model. From Rfam's summary of the family: Transfer RNA (tRNA) molecules are approximately 80 nucleotides in length. Their secondary structure includes four short double-helical elements and three loops (D, anti-codon, and T loops). Lineage: Eukaryota; Metazoa; Chordata; Mammalia; Rodentia; Bathyergidae. The record is from Rfam by way of RNAcentral.
UGUAGCUCAGUGGUAGAGCACUUGCCUGGUACGCAUGAGGACCUGGAUUUGACCUCAGCA